Molecule: non-coding RNA, 1911 nt
Organism: Elaeis guineensis (African oil palm)
Lineage: Eukaryota; Viridiplantae; Streptophyta; Magnoliopsida; Arecales; Arecaceae
Source: RefSeq, a predicted model, not a curated record
GGUUCAACCAUUGCGGAGCAGAAAAUAAAUAUAAUAUAUUUUUAAAAAAGAUAAUAAAAAAGCGGGGAGGCUGAUAUCUUGUAGCUAAUGUGCUUCCAACCUAUUAAAAGGAAAUGCUCUAAAUAUCCUAAUUUAUUUGAUAAAAUCAUAAAAGAGUACCAUAGCAAAAACCUAACUUCCUCGCAGGGCGUCAACUCUUUUUCCCUUCUUCCAUCGUUCGCUUUGGUUUCCACUAAUCGUCAGUUUUUUCCUCCAACCAAAGGAUCACGAUCAGAGAAAUCUUUUUGAUUUGGGUGUGACAAAAGCAUGGUGGAUCUGUGUGAUGACAUCCUUGUUCUCAUCUUCUUGCUCUUGCCCAAGGAUUCCCUUAUUCGCCUUCGUGGCGUCUGCAAGCGGUGGCUCCGUUUGAUAACAAAGAACCCUCUGGUAAGUGACCACCUGACGUACAGAUUCUUAGCCCGCUCUGUCUUACGUUCACCCUCAUACUUUACAAAGAUUCUCUCAUUAUCAUUGUUAUCUGCGGAGUGGGUCAAUUCCCCGGAGCCAUCUCUACAUUUCAUGCCCUGCCAUAGCAGCAUCAAAAUGCAGCUUGAAUCAACGAGCUCCUCUUCUGCACAAGGAAAGUAGAGGCAUCUGAGCCCAAAAGGCUCCAUGAUGAUUGCUAUCUCUGCAACCCCUGCACCCAGGAGUGGCUUAUCAUCCCUAAACCAAGUCGGUGCCAUUUCACUUUCAAUUUGCUGAGAAUAGGGCUGGCAUUCAAUCCUGCUGAAAACACUUCAAGCGGAAGGGCCACCUACAAGAUUGUCAGUGCUCACAAAAUUGGUGAUUUCAAUGGAAAUAUGCAUGGCUUUGAGAUCUAUUGCUCCGAGACACAAGAGUGGCGUGUCUCACAGGAGAUCUGCUCUGAACCCUCUGGUCCCAAGGAACUCUACUUUAAAGUUAGCCAGAAUUGUGCUGUUUACCACUGGUCUGUGCUGCAUUGGCUCGACGACCAUGGUUACAUUCUUGCCUUAGAUCCUAUAGCCGAAGCCUCCUGAUGGAUAUGUUUGCCUCUAAACAUGAUGUCAUCCUACCAUCGGCUGAAUUCUGGUUGGUUGGCUGAGAGCUGCGGUAGCCUCUACUUUGUGACAACUACCUCUUCCUCUGUGUAUGUUGAUCUUGGCAAUAUGCUGACUGUCUGAAAGAUGAGAGACAACCCACAGGAUGAGUGGACUCCACCCCUAUAUUGCAUCGACUUGGAUGCACAGCUUGCUACAGUCAGUUGGAAAUUACUUAGUCGUUGGGGCAUCCCCAUAUUCCGUUCCUGUGACCCUGUGGGCCUUGAGCAAAAGGGCAAUAUUAUCUUGCUUAGAACUGAACGGGGUAAGACUAUGUGCUAUAACCACAAAAGCAAGAAGCUGCAGAUGGAUCUUGAUGUUCAAGUGACUGACUCACUUUGUUUUAUCCACUAUUUUCCCUACAUUCCAACCACCAAGUCCCUCACCAAGUAGUUUUGGAAUAUCUCCUCCCUCCAUAAUGGGAGAUGAGUUGGUGAGAAUGUAGUUGCUGCUAGAGUUUGUUCUGGCAGAGAACAAAGGUAAAUUAUGUCAGCCAUCUGGGCAAAUCUCAAGUGUCAUCUCAGAAGAACAAGCAAGAGGGAAAUUUCUAUGUAUGUUAAGGCAAAUUUCUAUGUAAGUCAUAUUUUAUUUCCAGGUGGAAGAUGAGGGAUACAGAUUGUAUCUAAUUUUAAUAACCGGACAUAAUAAAAAAACUGUCAGUUCACUACCGUCUUUUUGUAAUUUUAAAUGAAUAUCUGAGCAGCUCGAUUAUCAGCUUUACUGCAGAUUGGUGAAUAGAUGUAUUGAUAGAGAUUAUAUAACACUGUUUGUGGUAGGCUAGAAUUUGAUUUCCUUAUGGAAUCUGAUUUUCCUA